GCAGAAGCCCCGCAGGCGGAAGAGGCCCUGGCCACGAUUUCUGAUGUUGUCUAGGCAACCUCGGGGAGGGGGACCUCCAUCCCCGCCUCUUAUCCCUUCCCUUCCCUCCUCAGACCCCGGAGUGACGCGACUGAUGGGUGCUGGGCCUGGGGGGAUGGAGGUUCUGCUUUCCCAGGCCCGCCCCAGGAGGAGACGGCCACCUUCUCUAGGUCUGCAGACUGUGCUGAGACCCCCACCCUCUUGUCUCCCUGGCCAUGUACUUCUCUGUCCCAGAGACCCUCCCCCCGACACAGGCACAGACACUCACCUGAGGCCAUACUGCCGGAACCCGGAGGGGUAUGUGGGAGACUGCCCGCCAGGGUCCGCACAACCGGGAAGCUGGGGUCGCAAGGGAGGGGAGGAGGGCUGAACCCAGACCCUGGCCAAGUCGCUCCAAGGAUCCCUGGCUCUGGCACCGAGAUGGAAGAAGUAAGGCAGUCUUUCAAAAUUGCCCGCAGGCAGGAGACGGACCUCGGCGGACCUCGGCCGCUGAACUAGCCUCGAAGACCCCGGGGAGUCCCGACUUCCAGCUGUCUGCUCAGGAGGCGAGCAGGCCACGUGCUCCCCAGAGAGCAGGACCCGGAACUCGUCUGUGCUUCUCUCAACACUCUCUGGGUGUUCAGGAUCGGACUAUCGUAGCUGGACUGUGGUGGAGUCACGCAACAGGUGCGACCCCACCGAAGCCUAGCCAGCGCCUCAGGGCGUCUCAGCCGCCCCAGGCCCCGCUGUGCCCGAGGCCCCGCCCCCUCCGGGCAGGCCCCGCCCCCGCCGUGUUCCUCUUCCCCUCGCCACGUGGGCAGCCGCCACUCCGCAGUUAGCCAGGCGGGUCUUGGGCAAGGGUUGUGCGUCAGCUUCCUCAUCAGUGAAAUGGGGCGGUGUAAUUGCACUCAAGGGAGUUGUGAGCAUGAAACGUUAAGCACCUUUGCACGAUGCCUGGCACAAAGUCGAUGGCCCAUAAAAGAGAACUAGUAUUGUCUCAGGACUCAUUCAUUUUGUUUUUUAAGAUUUUAUUUUUAAGUAAUCUCUACACCAAAGGUAGGGCUCGAACUCACAACCCCAAGAUCAAGAGCCACAAGCUCCACCAACUGAGCCAGCCAGGCACCCCCAUUCAUUCACUUUUAGAAGUCAUUCCUGGGCAUUCUCAUUCCGGGUCCUCUGCUUUCUUCUGGCAGGCAUAGAUAAACAGGGUGUGUCCUGCAAUCCAGGCUCUCCUUCCUAAUUUACUUAUGUAUUUAUUGGUUAAAAGCUUAGGCUCUGUAGCCAGAAUGCCUGGGUUCAAUUCCAGCCUCUUCCACCUACUUUGUGAUUGACGGGGAAGUUACUGGACUCUCUGUGCUCCUAUUUCCUCUGGAAAAUGACUGUAAGAGACCCUGCUUUGUAUAGUGAUCGUUAGGAUAAAUGAGUUAAUAUAAAUUAAGUGCUUAGAGCAGCGCCUGGCCUGUAGUUACCACUCAGUUAUUGUCUGCAUCUUAUCAUUGCUAUGUCCUUGUCCUUGGUUCCCUGUUGACAACCUCAUAUGGUGAUGAUUCUCUUGGUGGCCUAGAAAGAAGUGGAGUUGGGAUGUUUGGAGAACUGCAGACACCCCACCCAGCCAGCACCCCCACUCGCAAGUAACACAGAAUCCUACCUAAAGGGAACGGGGGGGGGGGGAAAGGGGGGGAGAUAAGACUUCACUAAACAUAAUCAAGUGUAUUAGCAGUAAUUAAUCUUUUCCCUAUUUCUCCACCUGUGGGAGCCCUUUGUUCCCCACACCCAGUUGUAUUAAUGCUGUUUGUCCAGCUCCUCCCAGUUCUCCCCUACAGCCAAAUUCCUUCCCAAACUCUGCCUCCCCCACCUCUCCCCAAGCUGGAUUCUGGACCCUGGACCCUACUAUCUGUGUGUAUCUGGUGUCACAUCUAUUGAUCUCUGCCUGCUGCUCCUCCUUACCCUGGGCAAACUCAAAAAACUACGGCCUCCAUAAACAUGGCGGGUGGGGGAGUUCACCUCACAAAGAAGCAAUCAAACCAAUAAAACAAAGGAAAUAACGAUGUUUACCCAUCAACUUAGCAAAGAUUAAGGGGAAAAAAUCCUAAUACACACAAGGGUGUAGUGAGAUGGGACACACAUACACUACUGGACACGAACAUCAACAUAAUCUUUCUGAAAGCCAUUUGGUAAUACAUAAUCAAGAGUCUUUCAAAAGUUCCUAUUAUUUAACCUAGUAAUUCCACUUUCAGGAAAUUGUUCUUCUAAAGAGCUGCCAGAAAAAUAUGCACGAAUUUGUUCAUCACUGCAAUGUUUAUCAUAUAGAAAGGCUGGAAACAUAAAGGUCCAACAAUAGGGAAAUGUUUAAAUUUUGUCAUAUGCGUACAAUGAAAUACAACAAUUAAAAAUUGUUCUUGGAGAAUUUCUUAAUGAGGUGGAAAUGUUUACAAUGUAAAGCUUGGUUUCAAAAAAAUGAAUGUAAAAAUCUGUACAUACAGUAUGGCCCUAAUUAUAUGACAUAUAUGCAUAGAAAACAGACACACCAAAAAGUUUACAAAUGAUUAUCUGUGGGUGGUAGAAUUGGGAAUUAUAUUUCCUUCUUUAUACUUAACUGCAUUUAAAAAAUUGUCUACCAUGCAUAGCCAUUACUUUUAUAUAAAUCAAGGGAAUAGGAAACAACAAACAAAUCUGUAACAGCCUCCACACCCCACUCCCAGCAGACCCUCCUGGGUCUUAAUCCCAGACUAAAUUGGUCUUGGGAUCUUUAGGAAUCUUGAAGCUGUUGGGCUCUCAACAAUGAAUGACAAAAUAAA
Long non-coding RNA from Acinonyx jubatus (cheetah), 2816 nucleotides. RefSeq lists it as uncharacterized. The transcript has 2 exons. Lineage: Eukaryota; Metazoa; Chordata; Mammalia; Carnivora; Felidae. The record is from RefSeq and is a predicted model, not a curated record.